Molecule: ribosomal RNA, 594 nt
Filed under: Tetratrichomonas buttreyi
Lineage: Eukaryota; Parabasalia; Trichomonadida; Trichomonadidae
Description: SSU rRNA
Rfam family: Eukaryotic small subunit ribosomal RNA
Source: RNAcentral
CGUUCACUGUGAACAAAUCAGGACGCUUAGAGUAUGGUUACAAGAAUGACUCAGCGCAGUAUGAAUUCUUUGUUUUCUUCGGAAAACAAGCUCAACGAGAGCCAUCGGGGGUAGAUCUAUCUCAUGACGAGUGGUGGAAUACGGUGACUCAUGAGAGAGAAACGGAGGCGAAGGCGUCUACCUAGAGGGUUUCUGUCGAUCAAGGGCGAGAGUAGGAGUAUCCAACAGGAUUAGAGACCCUGGUAGUUCCUACUAUAAACGAUGCCGACAGGAGUUUGUCAUUUUAUAAUGGCAGAAUCUUUGGAGAAAUCAUAGUUCUUGGGCUCUGGGGGAACUACGACCGCAAGGCUGAAACUUGAAGGAAUUGACGGAAGGGCACACCAGGGGUGGAGCCUGUGGCUUAAUUUGAAUCAACACGGGGAAACUUACCAGGACCAGAUGUUUUUUAUGACUGACAGGCUUUGGGUCUUUCAGGAUAUGAUUUUUGGUGGUGCAUGGCCGUUGGUGGUGCGUGGGUUGACCUGUCUAGCGUUGAUUCAGCUAACGAGCGAGAUUAUCGCCAAUUAUAUACUACGCCUAGGUUUCUAGGUUGCA